This is a non-coding RNA of Coffea arabica (coffee), 897 nucleotides long. The record is from RefSeq and is a predicted model, not a curated record. NCBI's taxonomy places the organism in Eukaryota, Viridiplantae, Streptophyta, Magnoliopsida, Gentianales, Rubiaceae.
AAAAAUUGUAAACCACAAACUCUAUAAGCCCUCUUCCUCAGGUCGCUCAAAUUUUUGGCAGCACAUCACUUCAGAUCUCAAUCCAUUUCCUAAUGGCAUCGAAAUGCAGCAGCAGAAUUAUGAAUAGGUCUACAAUUUCAUCCCUCAAAUCCUCCUUCAAUAAAUCAGCCUCCUCUUCUUCUUCUCUGGUUAACAGAUCCAUUCCGACGUCGUUUCCAAAAUCCACUAACGCCACCACGUCAUUCCUCCGCCGUUUCUCCCUCUCCAGGGCUCCGUCGGAAUUGGGAGCGGUGCAGUCGAUGCUACCGCUGCACAGCGCGGUUGCGACGGCGAGGAUGACGUCGUGCCUGAGUUUAACAUCCAGGAGUUGCAGGGCUCUUUCACAGGGUACACUCUGCUGCACUUCUCCAGAGCUCUAGUAUUCUCUUCCCUUGCACAUGAGUUUCCAAAAGCUUGAAAGAAUUAUACUGCCAUUUUACAAGAUGAAUAUGAUGGAACGUGAUACAUUUUUGCUGUUUUUGGAGGUGGGCUCCAUCACCUGCUCAAAUGAAUCUAGUUGCAAGGGACUUUUCUUUGUUUAUAACAUGUCUUAAGAUACUUUUUGUGGACGUUUUAGCUAGAAAUGAACUCGGUCUAGCUGUCUAUACAGUCACUUGCAAACUCAAGCUGUGGUAGAAUAUGUUUUCCCAAAAUACUUUUGGGAGAUGAUAGUAAAAACGGGCUGAUAAGCAAUUUGAUGAGAAUGUGCCGAGGUAGGACUAGGGAGCCGCUAGACGAAUAGUAGCAAAACAAGGAGGAUUUUCUGAGCGGAGAUGAUUAUUUGUAUAAUUUGGCAACAAGUUAUUUAACAGUCAUUUGCUGAAAUAUCUGUUGAUGAGAAAAGUCUUCUUUGUUUUA